UGGAAUGGAAAUUUUUCUUAUGAAUAUUUCUUAAUGUGCCAGUUAUGUGGUGUUUGGUCGGACGUGCGCAUUUGCAGCACCAUGGGGUACUCUUUGGCUGAAGUACAUAUUUUGUAUCUUCUUUGGACCUAAAUCAGACUGUUCAAGUGGUGUUUGCUCAGAACAUGCAGGUGGAGCACCAUGGGAUGCUCUUUGGCUGAGGUACACAUUUUAUAUCUUCUUUGGUUUGCCCGAAAGCAAGAUGUUGGAAGAAAAGAAAUAUGCAUCUUAUGAACUAACCGAACAAGGCCUUAGAAUUUUAAUAUCUUAGAUAUAAUAUUUGGGAAGGCGGUGUUUUUAUUUUAUGAAAAGAGUCUCAUUACUUCAGGAGACAAAUGAUAGAAUCGGCACUGUCAUAUAUUAUGGUGUGCUUUUACUCUACCUGGACUGUUUUUUAAGUGUAACU
This 445-nucleotide long non-coding RNA is filed under the name Triticum aestivum (bread wheat). Its description in RNAcentral is "long non-coding RNA (TAES_LNC013148)". Lineage: Eukaryota; Viridiplantae; Streptophyta; Magnoliopsida; Poales; Poaceae. The record is from RNAcentral.